GAUGUGGUGGCUCAAUGGUAGAGCUUUCGACUCCAAUUGAAAACUUCUGGCAGUGUCAUCGAAAGGUUGCAGGUUCAAUUCCUGUCCAUGUCA
Transfer RNA from Pachysolen tannophilus NRRL Y-2460, 93 nucleotides. It matches the Rfam family "tRNA". Rfam says of the family: Transfer RNA (tRNA) molecules are approximately 80 nucleotides in length. Their secondary structure includes four short double-helical elements and three loops (D, anti-codon, and T loops). NCBI's taxonomy places the organism in Eukaryota, Fungi, Ascomycota, Pichiomycetes, Alaninales, Pachysolenaceae. The record is from Rfam.